Molecule: ribosomal RNA, 496 nt
Filed under: uncultured bacterium
Lineage: Bacteria
Description: partial 16S ribosomal RNA
Rfam family: Bacterial small subunit ribosomal RNA
Source: RNAcentral
GAUGAACGCUGGCGGCGUGCCUAAUACAUGCAAGUCGAGCGAACAGACGAGGAGCUUGCUCCUCUGACGUUAGCGGCGGACGGGUGAGUAACACGUGGAUAACCUACCUAUAAGACUGGGAUAACUUCGGGAAACCGGAGCUAAUACCGGAUAAUAUAUUGAACCGCAUGGUUCAAUAGUGAAAGACGGUUUUGCUGUCACUUAUAGAUGGAUCCGCGCCGCAUUAGCUAGUUGGUACGGUAACGGCUUACCAAGGCAACGCUGCGUAGCCGACCUGAGAGGGUGAUCGGCCACACUGGAACUGAGACACGGUCCAGACUCCUACGGGAGGCAGCAGUAGGGAAUCUUCCGCAAUGGGCGAAAGCCUGACGGAGCAACGCCGCGUGAGUGAUGAAGGUCUUCGGAUCGUAAAACGCUGUUAUUAGGGAAGAACAAAUGUGUAAGUAACUAUGCACGUCUUGACGGUACCUAAUCAGAAAGCCACGGCUAACUACGU